GAAGAUAAGCAUCUGAUCUUUAAAUCACAACUUUUGCAGGUGAAAGGUCUGCACGACCACUUGGACGCCCGUUACAAGGCUCUCGACAAGCGGCUUGCAGCUCUGGAAGCCCAGAAAAGCGCCGACUCCUCUCCGUCUGUGGACGCGCCAUCGGGCUAG
RNAcentral lists this ribosomal RNA (159 nucleotides) under Triticum aestivum (bread wheat). RNAcentral's name for it is "partial small subunit ribosomal RNA". Lineage: Eukaryota; Viridiplantae; Streptophyta; Magnoliopsida; Poales; Poaceae. The record is from RNAcentral.